CCCGAUGAACCUGAAUAUCCGUUAUGGAAAAUUCAUCAUUAAAAUUGUAAUAUUUAAAUAAUAUUAUUAAGAAUAAUGUGCAUUUUUUCCAUAUAAGGACAUUGUAAUCUAUUAGCAUAUCCCAAAUUUAUCAUAAAAUAUAACUUAUAGUUUAUUCCAAUUAAAUUGCUUGCAUUUUAACACAGAAUAAAUGUUAUUAAUUUGAUAAAGUGCUGAUAGAUUUAUAUUAUUACAGAGCGUUAAUUUUUCGGAAUUAUAUAAUGGCAUAAUUAUCAUUGAUUUUUGUGUUUAUUAUAUGCUCUUGUAUGAUUAACAAUGCGAAAGAUUCAGGAUACUUCGGG
Molecule: ribosomal RNA, 341 nt
Filed under: Drosophila mauritiana
Lineage: Eukaryota; Metazoa; Arthropoda; Insecta; Diptera; Drosophilidae
Also listed under: 2 other names
Description: eukaryotic LSU rRNA
Source: RNAcentral